GCUGAUGUAGCUCAGAUGGAUAGAGCAGCUCACUCCUAACGAGCAGGUCCCCAGUUCGACUCUGGGCAUCAGCA
RNAcentral lists this transfer RNA (74 nucleotides) under Candidatus Falkowiibacteriota bacterium. RNAcentral's name for it is "tRNA-Arg". It matches the Rfam family "tRNA". Rfam says of the family: Transfer RNA (tRNA) molecules are approximately 80 nucleotides in length. The record is from RNAcentral. Lineage: Bacteria; Candidatus Falkowiibacteriota.